RNAcentral lists this ribosomal RNA (252 nucleotides) under uncultured bacterium. RNAcentral's name for it is "partial 16S ribosomal RNA". It matches the Rfam family "Bacterial small subunit ribosomal RNA", at positions 524 to 776 of the family's 1533-position model. The record is from RNAcentral.
UACGGAGGAUGCGAGCGUUAUCCGGAUUUAUUGGGUUUAAAGGGUGCGUAGGCGGAUCGCUAAGUCAGUGGUCAAAUUGAGGGGCUCAACCCCUUCCCGCCAUUGAAACUGGCGACCUUGAGUGGAAGAGAAGUAUGCGGAAUGCGUGGUGUAGCGGUGAAAUGCAUAGAUAUCACGCAGAACCCCGAUUGCGAAGGCAGCAUGCCGGCUUCCGACUGACGCUGAAGCACGAAAGCGUGGGGAUCGAACAGG